Molecule: ribosomal RNA, 498 nt
Filed under: uncultured bacterium
Lineage: Bacteria
Description: bacterial SSU rRNA
Rfam family: Bacterial small subunit ribosomal RNA
Source: RNAcentral
GAAUUUGAUCGUGGCUCAGGACGAACGCUGGCGGCGUGCUUAACACAUGCAAGUCAGGGGGCUCAGCAAUGGGUCACCGGCGAACGGGUGCGUAACACGUGAGCGACCUGCCCAAGUGUGGGGGAUAGCCGGCCCAACGGCCGGGUAAUACCGCAUACGCUUCCUCUGGGGCAUACCUAGGGAAGGAAACCUUCGGGGCACAUGGAGGGGCUCGCGGCCUAUCAGCUAGUUGGCGGGUAACGGCCCACCAAGGCUACGACGGGUAGCUGGUCUGAGAGGAUGGCCAGCCACAUUGGGACUGAGAUACGGCCCAGACUCCUACGGGAGGCAGCAGUGGGGAAUAUUGCGCAAUGGCCGAAAGGCUGACGUAGCGACGCCGCGUGGGGGAGAAGGUCUUCGGAUUGUAAACCCCUGUUGCCCGGGACGAAUCCUGGUUUAAGCCAGAUUGACGGUACCGGGUGAGGAAGCACCGGCUAACUCUGUGACAGCCGCCGCCGU